Molecule: ribosomal RNA, 480 nt
Filed under: uncultured bacterium
Lineage: Bacteria
Description: partial 16S ribosomal RNA
Rfam family: Bacterial small subunit ribosomal RNA
Source: RNAcentral
GACGAACGCUGGCGGCGUGCUUAACACAUGCAAGUCGAACGAUGAAGAAAAGAAUCGAAGCUUCGGCAGAAAUUGAUUUCGGAUUAGUGGCAGACGGGUGAGUAACGCGUGAGCAACCUACCUCUUACAAAGGGAUAGCCUCGGGAAACCGGGAUUAAUACCAUAUAACAUUGCGACGAAGCAUUUCGCUGCAAUCAAAGCUACGGCGGUAAGAGAUGGGCUCGCGUCCCAUUAACCGGAUGGUGAGGUAACGGCUCACCAUAGUGACGAUGGGUAACCGGGCUGAGAGGGUGAACGGUCACACUGGAACUGAGACACGGUCCAGACUCCUACGGGAGGCAGCAGUGGGGAAUAUUGCACAAUGGAGGGAACUCUGAUGCAGCGACGCCGCGUGAGUGAUGAAGGAAUUCGUUUCGUAAAACUCUGUUCUAUGGGAAGAAAAGGACUGUACCAUAGGAGAAAGCUCCGGCUAAAUACGUG